UUACAACAAAUUUACCUCAACUAUGUGACUUUCAUCAUUAACACCUGUUUACACCAAGGACGAUAACGGUAACGAUAUAGUUAAAAAAAAUUAAGUAAAUUCUAAAUCUAAAAGAAUAGGGACAAAAAGAAUUAAACUAAUUAAGGUAUCUAUUUUUGGUGUUUAUGAGCUGUGGUGUCUAUUUUUAAUGUUUUAGCAAGUGAAGAAAUAAUGUAAACAUUUCUU
Molecule: long non-coding RNA, 225 nt
Organism: Sinocyclocheilus rhinocerous
Lineage: Eukaryota; Metazoa; Chordata; Actinopteri; Cypriniformes; Cyprinidae
Exons: 3
Source: RefSeq, a predicted model, not a curated record